RNAcentral lists this long non-coding RNA (291 nucleotides) under Mytilus galloprovincialis (Mediterranean mussel). Lineage: Eukaryota; Metazoa; Mollusca; Bivalvia; Mytilida; Mytilidae. The record is from RNAcentral.
UGUGCAUUAACUACCUCAGAUAUACUGCACAGUUCAAAUCUAUUUUUACCUUUAGGGGCGGUUCCUAGAUUUUGAAAGGGGCGUUAUUCUAUCAAAUUAAAAAAAUAUAUCACCGAGUGUAGCGAGACUAAAAACAAUAUUGACGAUUUUAAGGCAAAACACGAUACUUUGUCCACCCCGAAUCCGCCAUCUGCCUUGAAAUUACGACACAAUUGAACUUUGUACAAACAUCGUAGUUUCAAAAUAGGAAAAAAAGAAAGGUUUCUCAUUCUUUUUUUUACAUCUUAGCUU